AAGGCCCUAGUAAAUUAAUUAUAUAGCCCUGUCAGAGCUAAGUAACAGAUUAAACAUCUGUGGGCCUCG
Molecule: transfer RNA, 69 nt
Filed under: Eutropis multifasciata (many-lined sun skink)
Lineage: Eukaryota; Metazoa; Chordata; Lepidosauria; Squamata; Scincidae
Description: tRNA-Asp
Source: RNAcentral